This 265-nucleotide ribosomal RNA is filed under the name uncultured anaerobic ammonium-oxidizing bacterium. Its description in RNAcentral is "partial 16S ribosomal RNA". It matches the Rfam family "Bacterial small subunit ribosomal RNA", at positions 565 to 828 of the family's 1533-position model. The record is from RNAcentral.
GAGCACGUAGGUGGGUUUGUAAGUCAGAUGUGAAAGCCUUCUGUUCAACGGAAGAAUUGCAUCUGAAACUGCGAGUCUUGAGUGUAGGAGGGGAGAAUGGAACUUCUGGUGGAGCGGUGUAAUGCGUAGAUAUCAGAAGGAACGCCGGCGGCGAAAGCGAUUCUCUGGCCUAUUACUGACACUCAGUGUGCGAAAGCUAGGGGAGCAAACGGGAUUAGAUACCCCGGUAGUCCUAGCCGUAAACGAUGGGCACUAAGUAGAGGGC